This 73-nucleotide transfer RNA is filed under the name Treponema sp. RNAcentral's name for it is "tRNA-Glu". It matches the Rfam family "tRNA". From Rfam's summary of the family: Transfer RNA (tRNA) molecules are approximately 80 nucleotides in length. Lineage: Bacteria; Pseudomonadati; Spirochaetota; Spirochaetia; Treponematales; Treponemataceae. The record is from RNAcentral. RNAcentral also lists the same sequence under 1 other name.
GGUCCCUUCGUCUAUCGGUUUAGGACGAGAGAUUCUCAAUCUCUAAAGACGGGUUCGACUCCCGUAGGGACCG